This 373-nucleotide ribosomal RNA is filed under the name uncultured organism. RNAcentral's name for it is "partial 16S ribosomal RNA". It matches the Rfam family "Bacterial small subunit ribosomal RNA", at positions 527 to 896 of the family's 1533-position model. The record is from RNAcentral.
GUAGGUGGCAAGCGUUGUCCGGAAUUAUUGGGCGUAAAGCGCGCGCAGGCGGGUUCUUUAAGUCUGAUGUGAAAGCCCACGGGCUCAACCGUGGAGGGUCAUUGGAAACUGGAGAACUUGAGUACAGAAGAGGAAAGCGGAAUUCCACGUGUAGCGGUGAAAUGCGUAGAGAUGUGGAGGAACACCAGUGGCGAAGGCGGCUUUCUGGUCUGUAACUGACGCUGAGGCGCGAAAGCGUGGGGAGCAAACAGGAUUAGAUACCCUGGUAGUCCACGCCGUAAACGAAGAGUGCUAAGUGUUAGGGGGUUUCCGCCCCUUAGUGCUGCAGCUAACGCAUUAAGCACUCCGCCUGGGGAGUACGGCCGCAAGGCUG